GUCUAAGGACAUACCACCCUAAACACACGAUAUCUCAUCUGAUCUUGGAAGCUAAGUAGGGUUGGGCUUGGUUGGUACUUGGAUGGGAGACCACCUAGGAAUACCAGGUGCUGUAGGUA
This is a ribosomal RNA of Rhinopithecus bieti (black snub-nosed monkey), 119 nucleotides long. Lineage: Eukaryota; Metazoa; Chordata; Mammalia; Primates; Cercopithecidae. The record is from Ensembl.